GACGAACGCUGGCGGCGUGCUUAACACAUGCAAGUCGAACGGAAAGGCCCUGCUUUUGUGGGGUGCUCGAGUGGCGAACGGGUGAGUAACACGUGAGUAACCUGCCCUUGACUUUGGGAUAACUUCAGGAAACUGGGGCUAAUACCGGAUAGGAGCUCCUGCUGCAUGGUGGGGGUUGGAAAGUUUCGGCGGUUGGGGAUGGACUCGCGGCUUAUCAGCUUGUUGGUGGGGUAGUGGCUUACCAAGGCUUUGACGGGUAGCCGGCCUGAGAGGGUGACCGGCCACAUUGGGACUGAGAUACGGCCCAGACUCCUACGGGAGGCAGCAGUGGGGAAUAUUGCACAGUGGGCGGGAGCCUGAUGCAGCAACGCCGCGUGCGGGAUGACGGCCUUCGGGUUGUGAACCGCUUUCGCCUGUGACGAAGCGUGAGUGACGGUAAUGGGUAAAGAAGCACCGGCUAACUACGUG
Molecule: ribosomal RNA, 468 nt
Filed under: uncultured bacterium
Lineage: Bacteria
Description: partial 16S ribosomal RNA
Rfam family: Bacterial small subunit ribosomal RNA
Source: RNAcentral